GCAGGAUGGUCAGCCACACUGGGACUGAGACACUGCCCAGACUCCUACGGGAGGCUGCAGUCGAGAAUCAUUCACAAUGCGCGAAAGCGUGAUGAUGCGACGCCGCGUGGAGGAUGACGGCCUUCGGGUUGUAAACUCCUGUCAUUCGGGAUCAGCGGCAUGGGGCUUAAUAAUCCUCGUGCUCGAUAGUACCGGAAGAGGAAGUCACGGCUAACUCUGUGCCAGCAGCCGCGGUAAUACAGAGGUGGCAAACGUUGUUCGGAUUUACUGGGCGUAAAGGGUGCGUAGGGGGUAUCGUGUGUCGGAUGUGAAAGCUCGGCGCUUAACGGCGAAAUUGCAUUCGAAACUGCGGAACUAGAGUACCGGAGAGGAGAGCGGAAUUCUCGGUGUAGCGGUGAAAUGCGUAGAUAUCGAGAAGAACACCGGUGGCGAAGGCGGCUCUCUGGACGGAUACUGACCCUGAGGCACGAAAGCUGGGGGAGCAAACAGGAUUAGAUACCCUGGUAGUCCCAGCUGUAAACGGUGUCCACUUGGUGUGGGGGGAGUUGAUCCCCUCCGUGCUGGAGCUAACGCGUUAAGUGGACCGCCUGGGGAGUACGGCCGCAAGGCUAAAACUCAAAGAAAUUGACGGGGGCCCGCACAAGCGGAGGAGCAUGUGGCUCAAUUCGAUGCAACGCGAAGAACCUUACCAGGGCUUGACAUGCAGCUGCACGUCCGCCGAAAGGUGGAAAGCCUUCGAGGGUGCUGCACAGGUGCUGCAUGGCUGUCGUCAGUUCGUGCCGUGAGGUGUUGGGUUAAGUCCCGCAACGAACGCAACCCUUGUGUCUAGUUGCCACUCCCUUCGGGGAAGCACUCUAGACAGACUGCCUGUGAUAAGCAGGAGGAAGGUGGGGAUGACGUCAAGUCCGUAUGGCCUUUAUGCCCUGGGCUGCACACGUGCUACAAUGGUCGGUACAGAAGGAUGCAAUGCCGCAAGGUGGAGCAAAUCCCUAAAACCGGCCCCAGUUCGGAUUGGAGUCUGCAACUCGACUCCAUGAAGUUGGAUUCGCUAGUAAUGGCGCAUCAGCUACGGCGCCGUGAAUACGUUCCCGGGCCUUGUACACACCGCCCGUCACAUCAUGAAAGCCGUCUGCACCCGAAGUCGCUGAUCCAACCCGUCAAGGGGGGAAGGUGCCGAAGGUGUGGGUGGUGAUUGGAAUGAAGUCGUAACAAGGU
RNAcentral lists this ribosomal RNA (1215 nucleotides) under metagenome. Its description in RNAcentral is "bacterial SSU rRNA". It matches the Rfam family "Bacterial small subunit ribosomal RNA", at positions 295 to 1497 of the family's 1533-position model. The record is from RNAcentral.